ACGAACGCUGGCGGCAGGCUUGACACAUGCAAGUCGGGCGGAAAGAUCCCCUUCGGGGGAUACUAGAGUGGCGAACGGGUGAGUAACAGGUGGAUAAUCUACCUUCCGGUGGGGGACAACAGCUGGAAACGGCCGCUAAUACCGCAUGCGAUUGCCGAGCCAGAACCGGGCAAAGAAAGGCGCUUCUGGCGCCGCCGGUUGAUGAGUCCGCCCCCCAUUAGCUUGUUGGUAGGGUAAUGGCCUACCAAGGCAUCGAUGGGUAGCCGAGCUGAGAGGUUGAUCGGCCACACUGGAACUGAGAUACGGUCCAGACACCUACGGGUGGCAGCAGUAGGGAAUAUUGGACAAUGGGCGAAAGCCUGAUCCAGCCAUGCCGCGUGGAGGAUGAAGGCCUUCGGGUCGUAAACUCCUUUUCUGAAGGAAGAACACCCUGGGGAGGAAAUGCCCUGGGCUUGACGGUACCUCAGGAAUAAGCAACGGCUAACUCCGUGCCAGCAGCCGCGGUAAUACGGAGGUUGCAAGCGUUGUUCGGAUUUACUGGGCGUAAAGGGAGCGCAGGCGGCCGAGUCAGUCUGAAGUGAAAUCCCGGGGCUUAACCCCGGACGUGCUUUGGAUACUGCUUGGCUUGAGUUCGCGAGAGGUGAGCGGAAUUUCAGGUGUAGCGGUGAAAUGCGUAGAUAUCUGAAGGAACACCAGUGGCGAAAGCGGCUCACUGGCGUAGAACUGACGCUGAGGCUCGAAAGCGUGGGGAGCGAACGGGAUUAGAUACCCCGGUAGUCCACGCCGUAAACGUUGUGCACUAGGUGUGGGAGGUAUCGACCCCUUCCGUGCCGUAGCUAACGCAUUAAGUGCACCGCCUGGGGAGUACGGUCGCAAGACUGAAACUCAAAGGAAUUGACGGGGGCCCGCACAAGCGGUGGAGCAUGUGGUUUAAUUCGAGGCAACGCGAAGAACCUUACCCAGGCUUGACAUCCCGCGCUCACCAUGGAAACAUGGUUUUCCCUCUUCGGAGACCCGGUGACAGGUGUUGCAUGGCUGUCGUCAGCUCGUGUCGUGAGAUGUUGGGUUAAGUCCCGCAACGAGCGCAACCCCCGUUCUUAGUUACCAGCGGUUCGGCCGGGGACUCUAGGAAGACUGCCGGUGAUAAACCGGAGGAAGGUGGGGACGACGUCAAGUCAUCACGGCCCUUAUGUCUGGGGCUACACACGUGCUACAAUGGCCGAUACAAUGGGCUGCGAUACCGCGAGGUGGAGCCAAUCCCAAAAAGUCGGUCUCAGUUCGGAUUGGAGUCUGCAACUCGACUCCAUGAAGUUGGAAUCGCUAGUAAUCGCGUAUCAGCAACGACGCGGUGAAUACGUUCCCGGGCCUUGUACACACCGCCCGUCACAUGACCCGAGUCGGUUGCACCCGAAGUCACUGGCCCAACCCGCAAGGGAGGGAGGUGCCGAAGGUGUGAUUGGUAAGGGGGAUGA
RNAcentral lists this ribosomal RNA (1472 nucleotides) under uncultured prokaryote. RNAcentral's name for it is "partial 16S ribosomal RNA". It matches the Rfam family "Bacterial small subunit ribosomal RNA". The record is from RNAcentral.